This 492-nucleotide ribosomal RNA is filed under the name uncultured bacterium. RNAcentral describes it as "partial 16S ribosomal RNA". It matches the Rfam family "Bacterial small subunit ribosomal RNA", at positions 29 to 507 of the family's 1533-position model. The record is from RNAcentral.
AUUGAACGCUGGCGGCAUGCUUUACACAUGCAAGUCGAACGGUAACAGGCCUUCGGGUGCUGACGAGCGGCGAACGGGUGAGUAAUGCAUCGGAACGUACCCAGAGGUGGGGGAUAACGCAGCGAAAGCUGUGCUAAUACCGCAUGUGAUCUGAGGAUGAAAGCGGGGGACCGAGCAGCAAUGUUUGGCCUCGCGCCUUUGGAGCGGCCGAUGUCGGAUUAGCUAGUUGGUGGGGUAAAGGCCUACCAAGGCGACGAUCCGUAGCUGGUCUGAGAGGACGACCAGCCACACUGGGACUGAGACACGGCCCAGACUCCUACGGGAGGCAGCAGUGGGGAAUUUUGGACAAUGGGCGCAAGCCUGAUCCAGCAAUGCCGCGUGCGGGAAGAAGGCCUUCGGGUUGUAAACCGCUUUUGGCAGGAACGAAACGGUGUCGGCUAAUACCGGGCGCUAAUGACGGUACCUGCAGAAUAAGCACCGGCUAACUACGUG